UCAUCGAAGUGAUACAUCAUACAAAAAUCAAAAAAAUUUCUUCCCUCUUAGUUUGAUAUCCAAAACAAAGAACAAAUCCGAACAAAUAACUGGAGCUUCAGAGGUUGAUAAAUGAUCAAGUCACAAAGUUUGUCAUGGAGUACGCACUAAGAAAAUAAUAAAUAAAGAAAAAUAUUUCUUCUCCUGACAAGAUCCAAACAGAGGAGGGUUUUUUUUUUCCCCCCGCGUGGGGGUUGGCCGGGGGCGAGAGAGAGAGAUUAGGGCCUCCAAACUCUAGGGAUUAAAGCUCCCCGUUUCACAUGAAUCGCAUCACAGAUUCUAGACAAAAAAAGAAAAAAAAUCACAAACACAUCAAACGCACUCAACACCAUAAAGCAGUUCUCCAUCUAACAGAAAACAAAAAGGAAGAUCAAGAAAAUGCAUGAAGGUUAAAAGGGUAAAGAAGGAGAGAUGAAAAGACGAAGGCAGAUGAGGAGACUGACCUCCGAUGCCGAGAUUGGCGGCGAGGAGAAGCGGCACGAUGCGACGAAGGAAGCCCUUCUUCGCCGCAGAUGGAGGCGGAGGAGUCGAGGCAGCACUAGAAGAAGACAUGGACGACGAGGAGGAGGCAACGAGACUCGGGUUGGGGAGUAGGAGGCCCGCUUCGACUUUCCUCGCUGCAGCAAAGGGAACCAAGAUCUAUCAAGCUUCUUUUCCUCCGCAGAGAGGCACUUCUGCCGGCCAUCGGGGUUCUCUCUCUCUCUCUAUAUAUAUAUAUAUACAUGGUUAGGAGGAAAAAUAACUUUAAAUACUGAA
Molecule: long non-coding RNA, 795 nt
Filed under: Elaeis guineensis (African oil palm)
Lineage: Eukaryota; Viridiplantae; Streptophyta; Magnoliopsida; Arecales; Arecaceae
Description: long non-coding RNA (EGUI_LNC080719)
Source: RNAcentral